GUGGUGUUUGGAUUGUCUCUGCCGGCUGGCUCCGUGCUCGUCCACCGAACGGUCGGCAGGCAAUCCGCGUCGGUAGCGCGAGGUGGGAUGGUGCCCCAGAGAGGCUGGUUCUUGUGUUGCCUACCCCUUCAAGGGAAGCAGGCCACUUGACGGUUAAGCCUCCGUCCGGCGCCCUCCAACGGGCGCAGGAGGACAACGAAGCACCCCCCGUGUUCCACCGAGCCUUCGUCGGUCGCGUGGCCCACGGGGCCGUGCUGUGCUCUCGGACCCAGCGCACGCCGUGGACGAGGACUCACGUCCCAGUCUUAAGAGAAGCUUCGAUAUAAUGUAUGACGGCCGCUCUCGCCCCUCGACCGCCACGGCGGUGCGAGGGCGACGCGCGACGUCGUGGAGGAAUGCUACCUGGUUGAUCCUGCCAGUAGUCAUAUGCUUGUCU
This 436-nucleotide unclassified non-coding RNA is filed under the name Archidendron whitei. RNAcentral's name for it is "partial external transcribed spacer". Lineage: Eukaryota; Viridiplantae; Streptophyta; Magnoliopsida; Fabales; Fabaceae. The record is from RNAcentral.